CUGUGAAUGGUAAACAGUUGGUUUAGCAGGAUCUUGGUACAUGGCACAUGUAGUAAGGCGCAGGAAGAAUCAAAAAGUCAAUCACUUCAGCGGAAGUUCUAAGGAAGUCCUUUCAUUGGCCAGAGGUCUUGGAGAAUGUGGGGGUUCCUCCCAGGUUAAAAGUUCCCUUCUUCCGCCCCUCUUCGGACACAGUGUUUGGAUCCCCUUCCAGCCUCGUGGAAGCUGUCUUUCUCUCUCCUGGAUUUCCCCUCUGGAGUCCCCUUCCACACUCUUCAUGGAAGUUUUCUCUUCUCCUUUUUCUCUUCCUCUACCUAAAAUAAAAUCACUUUUCUGCAAAAACUCUGUU
Molecule: long non-coding RNA, 346 nt
Filed under: Aotus nancymaae (Ma's night monkey)
Lineage: Eukaryota; Metazoa; Chordata; Mammalia; Primates; Aotidae
Description: lncRNA (ENSANAG00000039342.1)
Source: RNAcentral